This 467-nucleotide ribosomal RNA is filed under the name uncultured bacterium. RNAcentral's name for it is "partial 16S ribosomal RNA". It matches the Rfam family "Bacterial small subunit ribosomal RNA", at positions 28 to 507 of the family's 1533-position model. The record is from RNAcentral.
GACGAACGCUGGCGGCGUGCUUAACACAUGCCAGUCGAACGGAAAGGCUCCAGCUUGCUGGAGUACUCGAGUGGCGAACGGGUGAGUAACACGUGGGUAAUCUGCCCUGCACUCUGGGAUAAGCCUGGGAAACUGGGUCUAAUACUGGAUAUGACCUUUCUCCUUAUGGGGUUUGGUGGAAAGUUUUUCGGUGUAGGAUGAGCCCGCGGCCUAUCAGCUUGUUGGUGGGGUGAUGGCCUACCAAGGCGACGACGGGUAGCCGGCCUGAGAGGGUGAUCGGCCACAUUGGGACUGAGAUACGGCCCAGACCCCUACGGGAGGCAGCAGUGGGGAAUAUUGCACAAUGGGCGGAAGCCUGAUGCAGCGACGCCGCGUGAGGGAUGACGGCCUUCGGGUUGUAAACCUCUUUCAGCAGGGACGAAGCGUAAGUGACGGUACCUGCAGAAGAAGCACCGGCUAACUAUGUG